GUGAACUUCUUUGUACUUGAGAAUGAGACGAGAUAAACCUGUAACGAGGCCAUCCAAAUUAAGGGCAAGUUGAGUCAAGAGCUGAAUGAGAAAACUGAUGUCCUUAGACCGAAAAGAAUUUGAAAAUGUUUGCCCAAAGUGAAGGCAGUAGAAGCAGCUGUCAAAAUAUGAAGUAGGGUGUCAGGUGUUGCACUUUAGCGAAAUGAGCAGAGAGGGCAUGAACUGGAGCAGACCCAGGCGAACUUAGGGAAGGACGCUUCCAGCGUCUGUGUUGCCAUUCAUAUGUCUGAGCACGUGGGGUUAGCUGGCCGUGGUCAAAGGCUGCUGUUGGAUAGCCGUGAAAUCUAUGCCUCCAGAACUGUAUGUACACUGUUCUUUUACACAGAUGUCCACUGUGACAGGGUUUGGGGAAAAGGACAGCAUGCAAACCAGAGGACCUAGAAGGAUGAUAACUGUUCACCUUACAUCACUCAGUAAAGACGAAAACACCUUUUGGCCCAGCAGUCAGAACAAAGGAAAUUCUUUACUUGAGAAUGAAAGUGAGCCAGUAAUUGUAAGUACUGCAUGCUUUCCUUUUUCAGCAUAAUAUUUUCUACAUAUUAAUUUGAAAAUAAAGAGCUUAUAUUUCAGUAAUGUUAACUCAGAACAGAGUUGGAAACAUAAUAUGCAACAGUAUAGAAAAAUUUUAAAGCAUGUAAAAAAAAAUCCCUCCCCCCAACACACAACAAUAGAGCUAGAUGAUUGUAUAUGAUGACAUCAUUGCAAGAUGAACUGUGGAUUGGUGCCAAGGGGACCAUAAAUACUUAAGGUACGUUUCUGAUUUACUGUCAAGAGUGAAGCUUUACAGAGGUAAGUCAGUGUGUAGCUCUUUAUUGUUAUGUAACAAAACUAUCCUCUAACCCUUGACUUAGUGGCUUUAAGCCACCAUUUAUGUACCUGUUAUGUUGUGAGUCAGCAAUUUGGAGAGGCCUUGUCUGGGAGCUUAUUUUCUGGUCCACAUGGUACCUGCUAGUACAGCUAGGGGUGGAGGAUCUGCUUCUACAUUGGUUUCUUUGCCUCUUCUAGGAUCAGACACAAUUAGUUAGAAAAAUUAAAAGUCUACAUAAAUUUGACUUUGUGAGCAGUGAUGACCAGUUGUAAAUAAAUACCUGCAUAUAGAAAUAUAUGUUUUUGCAAUAAUAAUAAAUUAUGAAUUAAUAUAUUUUAUCUCAGGAAUAUAAUAAGGGUUAGCACAAAAACCUUUAUUAUUACUUACUUUUUGAAGUAUAGUCGAUUUACAAUGUUGUGUAAAUUUCAGGUGUACAGCAC
This 1308-nucleotide long non-coding RNA is filed under the name Capra hircus (goat). RNAcentral's name for it is "lncRNA (ENSCHIG00000007134.1)". The record is from RNAcentral. Lineage: Eukaryota; Metazoa; Chordata; Mammalia; Artiodactyla; Bovidae.